CAGUCGCCGCGGUAAUACGUAGGUGGCAAGCGUUGUCCGGAAUUAUUGGGCGUAAAGGGUGUGCAGACGGCUUAUUAAGUCACUUGUUAAAUUCUUCGGCCUAACUGAAGGUCUGCAAGUGAUACUGAUGAGCUAGAGGGUGGAAGAGAGAAGUGGAAUUCUCGGAGUAGCGGUAAAAUGCGUAGAUCUCGAGAGGAACACCAAUGGCGAAGGCAGCUUCUUGGUCCAUUCCUGACGUUCAUACACGAAAGCGUGGGGAGCAAACAGGAUUAGAUACCCCCGUAGUCCCUGUCUCUUAUAC
This 301-nucleotide ribosomal RNA is filed under the name uncultured bacterium. RNAcentral's name for it is "partial 16S ribosomal RNA". It matches the Rfam family "Bacterial small subunit ribosomal RNA", at positions 509 to 807 of the family's 1533-position model. The record is from RNAcentral.